This is a non-coding RNA of Mycena alexandri, 94 nucleotides long. NCBI's taxonomy places the organism in Eukaryota, Fungi, Basidiomycota, Agaricomycetes, Agaricales, Mycenaceae. The record is from the annotation of a GenBank genome assembly.
GGCUCGGUGGUGGACGGUUCAUGCUCACAACAACUUGACAAGCGUUUGCUAUGGAUACUUGUGAGAGACGCCCGUUCGACUCGGGCCCGAGCCG